RNAcentral lists this ribosomal RNA (253 nucleotides) under uncultured bacterium. Its description in RNAcentral is "partial 16S ribosomal RNA". It matches the Rfam family "Bacterial small subunit ribosomal RNA", at positions 524 to 776 of the family's 1533-position model. The record is from RNAcentral.
UACGAAGGGGGCUAGCGUUGCUCGGAAUUACUGGGCGUAAAGCGCACGUAGGCGGCUUUCUAAGUCGGGGGUGAAAUCCUGGAGCUCAACUCCAGAACUGCCUUCGAUACUGGAGAGCUCGAAUCCGGGAGAGGUGAGUGGAAUUCCGAGUGUAGAGGUGAAAUUCGUAGAUAUUCGGAAGAACACCAGUGGCGAAGGCGGCUCACUGGACCGGCAUUGACGCUGAGGUGCGAAAGCGUGGGGAGCAAACAGG